GUGGGGAAUAUUGGACAAUGGGCGAAAGCCUGAUCCAGCCAUGCCGCGUGUGUGAAGAAGGUCUUCGGAUUGUAAAGCACUUUAAGUUGGGAGGAAGGGCAGUAAGUUAAUACCUUGCUGUUUUGACGUUACCGACAGAAUAAGCACCGGCUAACUUCGUGCCAGCAGCCGCGGUAAUACGAGGGGUGCAAGCGUUAAUCGGAAUUACUGGGCGUAAAGCGCGCGUAGGUGGUUUUGUAAGUUGGAGGUGAAAUCCCCGGGCUCAACCUGGGAACUGCCUCCAAAACUGCAUGACUAGAGUACGGUAGAGGGUAGUGGAAUUUCCUGUGUAGCGGUGAAAUGCGUAGAUAUAGGAAGGAACACCAGUGGCGAAGGCGACUACCUGGACUGAUACUGACACUGAGGUGCGAAAGCGUGGGGAGCAAACAGGAUUAGAUACCCGAGUAGUCC
Molecule: ribosomal RNA, 450 nt
Filed under: uncultured bacterium
Lineage: Bacteria
Description: partial 16S ribosomal RNA
Rfam family: Bacterial small subunit ribosomal RNA
Source: RNAcentral